RNAcentral lists this non-coding RNA (143 nucleotides) under Paenibacillus mucilaginosus KNP414. The record is from RNAcentral. Lineage: Bacteria; Bacillati; Bacillota; Bacilli; Caryophanales; Paenibacillaceae.
UCGAAUUCUUGUCGGCCCGGUCGCCCGGACGUUUUGCUCUUCGACUUGUACGGAAUGGAUCGAUCCCGGAAGGCCCCCGCCGAAUAUUUCGAACACCUUCACCUCGUCAACUGGAUGGUCAGUUCCUGCAGUCGAUUAAUCCU